RNAcentral lists this ribosomal RNA (1473 nucleotides) under uncultured bacterium. RNAcentral describes it as "16S ribosomal RNA". It matches the Rfam family "Bacterial small subunit ribosomal RNA". The record is from RNAcentral.
GAUCAUGGCUCAGGACGAACGCUGGCGGCGUGCUUAACACAUGCAAGUCGAACGGAAAGGCCCUGCUUUUGUGGGGUGCUCGAGUGGCGAACGGGUGAGUAACACGUGAGUAACCUGCCCUUGACUUUGGGAUAACUUCAGGAAACUGGGGCUAAUACCGGAUAGGAGCUCCUGCUGCAUGGUGGGGGUUGGAAAGUUUCGGCGGUUGGGGAUGGACUCGCGGCUUAUCAGCUUGUUGGUGGGGUAGUGGCUUACCAAGGCUUUGACGGGUAGCCGGCCUGAGAGGGUGACCGGCCACAUUGGGACUGAGAUACGGCUCAGACUCCUACGGGAGGCAGCAGUGGGGAAUAUUGCACAAUGGGCGGAAGCCUGAUGCAGCAACGCCGCGUGCGGGAUGACGGCCUUCGGGUUGUAAACCGCUUUCGCCUGUGACGAAGCGUGAGUGACGGUAAUGGGUAAAGAAGCACCGGCUAACUACGUGCCAGCAGCCGCGGUGAUACGUAGGGUGCGAGCGUUGUCCGGAUUUAUUGGGCGUAAAGGGCUCGUAGGUGGUUGAUCGCGUCGGAAGUGUAAUCUUGGGGCUUAACCCUGAGCGUGCUUUCGAUACGGGUUGACUUGAGGAAGGUAGGGGAGAAUGGAAUUCCUGGUGGAGCGGUGGAAUGCGCAGAUAUCAGGAGGAACACCAGUGGCGAAGGCGGUUCUCUGGGCCUUUCCUGACGCUGAGGAGCGAAAGCGGGGGAGCGAACAGGCUUAGAUACCCUGGUAGUCCACGCUGUAAACGGUGGGUACUAGGUGUGGGGUCCAUUCCACGGGUUCCGCGCCGUAGCUAACGCUUUAAGUACCCCGCCUGGGGAGUACGGCCGCAAGGCUAAAACUCAAAGGAAUUGACGGGGCCCCGCACAAGCGGCGGAGCAUGCGGAUUAAUUCGAUGCAACGCUAGAACCUUACCUGGGUUUGACAUGGAUCGGGAGUGCUCAGAGAUGGGUGUGCCUCUUUUGGGGUCGGUUCACAGGUGGUGCAUGGCUGUCGUCAGCUCGUGUCGUGAGAUGUUGGGUUAAGUCCCGCAACGAGCGCAACCCUUGUUCACUGUUGCCAGCACGUUAUGGUGGGGACUCAGUGGAGACCGCCGGGGUCAACUCGGAGGAAGGUGGGGAUGACGUCAAGUCAUCAUGCCCCUUAUGUCCAGGGCUUCACGCAUGCUACAAUGGCUGGUACAGAGAGUGGCGAGCCUGUGAGGGUGAGCGAAUCUCGGAAAGCCGGUCUCAGUUCGGAUUGGGGUCUGCAACUCGACCUCAUGAAGUUGGAGUCGCUAGUAAUCGCAGAUCAGCAACGCUGCGGUGAAUACGUUCCCGGGGCUUGUACACACCGCCCGUCAAGUCAUGAAAGUUGGUAACACCCGAAGCCGGUGGCCUAACCGUUGUGGGGGAGCCGUCGAAGGUGGGACUGGUGAUUAGGACUAAGUCGUAACAAGGU